This 894-nucleotide ribosomal RNA is filed under the name uncultured bacterium. RNAcentral describes it as "bacterial SSU rRNA". It matches the Rfam family "Bacterial small subunit ribosomal RNA", at positions 8 to 916 of the family's 1533-position model. The record is from RNAcentral.
AGAGUUUGAUCCUGGCUCAGGACGAACGCUGGCGGCGUGCUUUAUACAUGCAAGUCGAACGAUGAAGUUCCUUCGGGAAUGGAUUAGUGGCGAACGGGUGAGGAACACGUGAGAAACCUGCCUUUCAUUCUGGGAUAACACCGGGAAACCGGUGCUAAUACCGGAUACUCCAUCUUGGCGGCAUCGCCGAGCUGGGAAAAAAUUUUGAUGAAAGAUGGUCUCGCGGCCUAUCAGCUAGUUGGUGAGGUAAAGGCUCACCAAGGCGACGACGGGUAGCCGGCCUGAGAGGGCGACCGGCCACACUGGGACUGAGACACGGCCCAGACUCCUACGGGAGGCAGCAGUAGGGAAUAUUGGGCAAUGGGCGAAAGCCUGACCCAGCGACGCCGCGUGAGGGAUGAAGGUCUUCGGAUUGUAAACCUCUUUCAGUAGGGAAGAAGCGAAAGUGACGGUACCUAAAGAAGAAGCACCGGCUAACUAUGUGCCAGCAGCCGCGGUAAUACAUAGGGUGCAAGCGUUGUCCGGAAUUAUUGGGCGUAAAGAGCUCGUAGGUCGUUUGUCGCGUCGAUUGUGAAAAUCUGAGGCUCAACCUCAGACCUGCAGUCGAUACGGGCAAACUAGAGUGUGGUAGGGGAGACUGGAAUUCCUGGUGUAGCGGUGGAAUGCGCAGAUAUCAGGAGGAACACCAAUGGCGAAGGCAGGUCUCUGGGCCAUAACUGACACUGAGGAGCGAAAGUGCGGGGAGCAAACAGGAUUAGAUACCCUGGUAGUCCGCACCGUAAACGGUGGGCACUAGUUGUGGGAACCUUCCACGGUUUCCGCGACGCAGCAAACGCAUUAAGUGCCCCGCCUGGGGAGUACGAUCGCAAGAUUAAAACUCAAAGGAAUUGACGG